UACGUAGGGUGCAAGCGUUAAUCGGAAUUACUGGGCGUAAAGCGUGCGCAGGCGGUUAUGUAAGACAGAUGUGAAAUCCCCGGGCUCAACCUGGGAACUGCACUUGUGACUGCACAGCUGGAGUACGGCAGAGGGGGAUGGAAUUCCGCGUGUAGCAGUGAAAUGCGUAGAUAUGCGGAGGAACACCGAUGGCGAAGGCAGUCCCCUGGGCCUGUACUGACGCUCAUGCACGAAAGCGUGGGGAGCAAACAGG
RNAcentral lists this ribosomal RNA (253 nucleotides) under uncultured bacterium. Its description in RNAcentral is "partial 16S ribosomal RNA". It matches the Rfam family "Bacterial small subunit ribosomal RNA", at positions 524 to 776 of the family's 1533-position model. The record is from RNAcentral.